AGCGAACGCUGGCGGCAGGCUUAACACAUGCAAGUCGAACGCAUCACUUCGGUGGUGAGUGGCAGACGGGUGAGUAACACGUGGGAACGUACCCUUCGAUCUGGGAUAACUUCGGGAAACUGGAGCUAAUACCGGAUACGCCCUUUUGGGGAAAGGUUUACUGUCGAAGGGUCGGCCCGCGUCUGAUUAGCUAGUUGGUGGGGUAACGGCCUCCCAAGGCGACGAUCAGUAGCUGGUCUGAGAGGAUGAUCAGCCACACUGGGACUGAGACACGGCCCAGACUCCUACGGGAGGCAGCAGUGGGGAAUAUUGGACAAUGGGCGCAAGCCUGAUCCAGCCAUGCCGCGUGAGUGAUGAAGGCCUUAGGGUUGUAAAGCUCUUUUGUCCGGGACGAUAAUGACGGUACCGGAAGAAUAAGCCCCGGCUAACUUCGU
RNAcentral lists this ribosomal RNA (434 nucleotides) under uncultured bacterium. Its description in RNAcentral is "partial 16S ribosomal RNA". It matches the Rfam family "Bacterial small subunit ribosomal RNA", at positions 29 to 506 of the family's 1533-position model. The record is from RNAcentral.